Molecule: ribosomal RNA, 450 nt
Filed under: uncultured organism
Description: partial 16S ribosomal RNA
Rfam family: Bacterial small subunit ribosomal RNA
Source: RNAcentral
CACUCCUGCGGGAGGCAGCAGUGGGGAAUAUUGGACAAUGGGCGCAAGCCUGAUCCAGCCAUGCCGCGUGAGUGAUGAAGGCCCUAGGGUUGUAAAGCUCUUUCACCGGUGAAGAUAAUGACGGUAACCGGAGAAGAAGCCCCGGCUAACUUCGUGCCAGCAGCCGCGGUAAUACGAAGGGGGCUAGCGUUGUUCGGAUUUACUGGGCGUAAAGCGCACGUAGGCGGACUAUUAAGUCAGGGGUGAAAUCCCGGGGCUCAACCCCGGAACUGCCUUUGAUACUGGUAGUCUUGAGUUCGAGAGAGGUGAGUGUAAUUCCGAGUGUAGAGGUGAAAUUCGUAGAUAUUCGGAGGAACACCAGUGGCGAAGGCGGCUCACUGGCUCGAUACUGACGCUGAGGUGCGAAAGCGUGGGGAGCAAACAGGAUUAGAAACCCUAGUAGUCCCAUGA